GGUGCUGUAGCUCAGUGGUAGAGCGCUUGCCUAGCACGUGUGAGGCACUGGAUUCAAUCCUCAGCACCA
Molecule: transfer RNA, 69 nt
Filed under: Ictidomys tridecemlineatus (thirteen-lined ground squirrel)
Lineage: Eukaryota; Metazoa; Chordata; Mammalia; Rodentia; Sciuridae
Description: Spermophilus tridecemlineatus (thirteen-lined ground squirrel) tRNA
Rfam family: tRNA
About the family: Transfer RNA (tRNA) molecules are approximately 80 nucleotides in length.
Source: Rfam by way of RNAcentral